GGGAAUGUGGCUUAGUGGUACAGUGCUUGCCUAGCAUGCAUGAAGCCCUGGUUCAAUUCCUCAGUACCA
RNAcentral lists this transfer RNA (69 nucleotides) under Dipodomys ordii (Ord's kangaroo rat). It matches the Rfam family "tRNA". From Rfam's summary of the family: Transfer RNA (tRNA) molecules are approximately 80 nucleotides in length. Their secondary structure includes four short double-helical elements and three loops (D, anti-codon, and T loops). The record is from Rfam by way of RNAcentral. Lineage: Eukaryota; Metazoa; Chordata; Mammalia; Rodentia; Heteromyidae.